GAGGUGCAUUUUAUGUGAGUUAGAGUCGGUCUACAGAGCAGUGCAUAGCAAUGUUUCAUGCGGUGACAGAGGAGUUUGAAAUAAACUGAGAUGCGAAUUUGAGAUGAUUUAGGAGUCUACGGAUGGCCAGGAUUCCAAGAUGCUGAAGCCUAUAAAAAUAGUGCACUAUGGACAAUAGAGGAGGCCAUAGUAAGCAGAGAGCUGGAGC
RNAcentral lists this long non-coding RNA (208 nucleotides) under Elaeis guineensis (African oil palm). RNAcentral describes it as "long non-coding RNA (EGUI_LNC044270)". Lineage: Eukaryota; Viridiplantae; Streptophyta; Magnoliopsida; Arecales; Arecaceae. The record is from RNAcentral.